CACCCACCCACCCAGCGAUACCAGCACAGGGUCCAGGUCGGGUCAGCGGGGGCGAGUGUCCUCACCCCACCCCACCCCCGCAAGAUUCCUGCUGCAACUGUAACUGCCACCGGAGCUGUAUUAAGAGCUGGCUGACUGGGCCCUGGCGUGACGAUGCACGCUUGUGAUCUCUGCACUAGAGAGGCUGAGGCAGGAGGAUCUCCACGAGUUCAAGGCCAACCUGGGCUACAUAGUGAGUUCAAAAAGAGAGUUGACCGGGCUGGAACCAUGGUGAAUGGAUUAAUGUGUGGAGAGGAUCAGUUACCACAGGAGUGAGUUCAGGAUAAAGGGUAGGUUUGGUCCCCAGACUUCAUCUGGAGCUGCCCCACCACCUUCUGCUCUGGGUCCCCAGAUGCCAGCGCUGUGCUGGGCCUUCCCUACUAGACACUGAGCCCAAGCAGAGGACACCCAGGGCCCAGCCUGGCACACCGGGUCUGCGGAGUCAGAGCCGCCCCUGAGACUACACCAGGCCUAGUGACUGGGCCCCAGGUGCGAGGAAGCUCCUCGGAGGCCAGGCUGAGGACGCAUGUGUUUGAAAGGCCACUGCCCCCUCUGCAGAGUAACCUUGUGUGGCCCCAGCUGGGGCUGGCUCCCUGGAUGCUCCCAUGGCCCUGCCCCACACACGCUGGACAAUGAGCGUCCGUUGUCCCAGGGCAGCGGCCUCAGUCACUGGCUCCCUGCAGCUGGGCCCUCCCUUCCGCUCCUCCCGAGAUGCCACCGUAUCUGUAUCAGAGAACUGCGGCACUGGCCCGGGAUCUGUCCUCCAAGCUGCAACACCCAAGCAGCCCAUGCCCCGAGGGAAGGGGCAAGGCCUCUGGAGCCCAGCAGGGCUCUUUCCAGCAGAGCCCUCAGGAGACCCCCACCCUGCCUGGUCACACAAGGUCCCCAGGUGGGCAGAGCGGGGCUGGAGGACCCUGGGCGUUGCUCUCUGGGAACAGCCACAUGCCCAAGGUGUGCUGGGAGCUUGGGGCGUCAGGUGCGGAGUGGCCCGUGUGUGCUUCUAGUUCCUCUUUCCCAAAUCCUGUUGCUGUAAACUAAAGGGCAGCCAGUUCUGAGGAGUGGGGCAGCGCUUGUGAAAAUCCCACUGGUGUCUGGUCAGGUUCCCCUUCCCUGAGCUGCCCUGCCAGUUGGGAUAUAGUGGGGUGGGGGUUCCCACUCUUCCCCUCUAGAACCUGCUCCUUGGAACCUGGGCAGAGCCCCCGCCGGAGCCCAGUGGAGGAGCAGGCUUGGGGACAGUCCCUCAGGCAGCAGGGAUCUACCUGCCCAGCUCGGAGGCUGAGUCAAGGUCCAGGUGUGGCAGGGCUGGUGUCCUAGAGGCCGCUCCCCUCGGCUUGUACCUGGCUGUCUUCUCCCUGUGUCUUAAUCUCUAUGAGGACGCCAGACCUACUGGAUUGGGGCCCCCACGAGUGGACUCAUUUUACUUUAUGUUUUAGAUUCUGAUACAGGGUAUCGCUAUGGAGCCCAGGCUGGCCGUGAACUCAAUGGCAGUUCUCCUGCCUCAGCCUCAAGCACUGGGAUUACAGGCCUGCACCCCCCUGCCUGGCUAAUGACCCCAUUUUAAUUUAAUUACUUCUUGGAAGUCCCAGUCUCCCAUACAGUCACAGUCUCAGGUUCUGAGGGUUGGGAUUUCAACAGAAGAACUUCAGGGGACCUGCAGUUCAGCCUGUAACCACCUCAGAGGGGGAAGAAGCCGGCCCGGGCCUGGCGUCUGGGAGAAGCAGUGGGUGUUGCCUUCCCAGGGACCUGCUUGGUGUGGGGCUCCAGAGUCCUCCAGACAGAUUCCCCCAGCCCUGGCAUCCCCGCGGCCUCAGCGUUACAGGUUUGGGGAGGAGGGACCUCGUCAGCCGACUGCUUUGACCCCCGCCCCAGUCCCCCGUCCCCCCUGGUGGGAGCAUCUGGGAAGGAACCGGACCCCCUGCCAUUCUUCCUGCCUCUCACGCCCGCUGCAAGGCAGAUUUCAGGGUCUCUGGGCAUUUGAGGUCAGCUCGAGGCCCCAUCUCUUCCUGUGAAAUGUGGGGCGCAGGGGUCCACGCAGGCCGCUGUCCUGAACCAGAACUGCUCACAUCCGGGCCUCAGGGCCCCCUCGGGCCUCAGCAGCUUCUGGGCUCUGACCCGGUAACUGCCUGGCCUCUUCCACACGGACAAGUGAGUCACAUCUGACUGCACUGCGGGGUACGGGCCAGAACCGGAAGUGUCCCGGUCCAAGUCCGGAAGCGGGAAUUUCGCUGCGCAUGUCUUCCGGCGAACCUUCUAGGCUCCCUCAGAGGUCCCAGACACCAGCUUGCUCCUCGCCCUUCGGUUGGGACGCAGGCACCGUCAGCCCCUUCCUGUUCUCUCCAGCGCGCCCUGGAGCAAGUCUGGAAGACCCAGCUGCCGCAGGUUAGGGGAUUUCGUGAGCCAACAGUGAGACCUCGCCGUCGCUGAAAAUGAAAUCGCAUUAAAAGAAAAGCGGCAAGUACUCCAAGCUGGUGGUCCUAACAUUCUCUGCCGUGUGCCCGAGGUUUCUUACUGUGAGGCGGAAAUGCUACGGGGUGGUCAGACUUUGUCCCCGCCGCAGGCGUCCUGGGCCGGCCGAGCUGCCACCGCGGGAGUGGCGCACAGGGCGUGGUCUGUCCCAGGCUCUCCAGACUGCGGUGACGGUCAGGUACUCACUCUGCUGGCCUUUCGGACUUUGCCUCCUUGGUGGACACCGCCGAACUCCACUGCAACAGCCUUGGGCAAUGAGAGCGGUAGCUGGGUGGCAAUAAAACUUUAUUGUAAAACA
This is a non-coding RNA of Heterocephalus glaber (naked mole-rat), 2803 nucleotides long. The record is from RefSeq and is a predicted model, not a curated record. NCBI's taxonomy places the organism in Eukaryota, Metazoa, Chordata, Mammalia, Rodentia, Bathyergidae.